Molecule: long non-coding RNA, 2722 nt
Organism: Poecilia latipinna (sailfin molly)
Lineage: Eukaryota; Metazoa; Chordata; Actinopteri; Cyprinodontiformes; Poeciliidae
Exons: 3
Source: RefSeq, a predicted model, not a curated record
GGCACUUUUAGUUUUUCAAAAAAAAAAAAAAAAAGCAAGAGCACAGACAUUAACAACUUGUGAAAUAACUGGACGUGCUCUUCAAACAAAAAUAUUCACAUUAUAAAUAGGAAUAUUAUUCUAAUAUUACAUAGACUGAUAAACAAGCAAAAAAAAAAAAAAAAAAAAAAAAAACUGGUUCCAGGUUGACACACAACCAUUUUGCUUUACUGCAGUUGCUGAAUCUUACAGGUGCUCACAUGCAGCAAACAGUGCAUGUGUCACGUGUGCUAUGAAAUUACAGGAUGGAAUGUCAUUGUACUUUCAUUUAAAAAUGUUUUGCUCUAGAAACACUGAUCUGAAGAGAUGGCAUCAGGAUGUUUUGAAACAGGCACACUGCUCUUUGUCUGGAAAGGGAAAAGAAGGCACCCAGCUGUGCUGACCCUGUGCAAGAUAAUUUCACAAGAGUAAACCGUGAAAUUUAAGAUGCCUUAACUGCACUGUAAAGUUGCUGCACCACUGAAAAUAUCAAUGUGUGUGUGAGGCUGUUAUCAUACAGUCUGUGUUGAUGUUAACCCUUUCAGAAGCUCAUGUUUAAAAUGUGGCUACCACACAGACAAAUGGCAGACUGACCAAUGCGCCUUUACAUUUCAACAAAUUAUUACUCUUCUUGUGUGUAAGAAGAGUAAUAGACCAUAAUGACUCCAAUAAAGCUUUUACUAUUACAGGAAAAUGUGGAUGCAGCAAUUUGUGAUUUUGUAAUGUGGUAAUAAUAUUCCCUCCGAAAUCCUUUUUUACUCACUAUGGAUUGAAAUUAGCAACAAAUUAUUUUUUUUUUUUCAAAAGCAUGCAUGAUUUGCUGAAGGUGCAUAUACCUAUUAAACAGACAUAGUUUUUUUUUCUAUGAUUAAGAAAAUGAUCAAAAAAUUGUCAUGACAAUUUCUAGAUUUAAUGUUUUUGAUAAUUACAGGGAUACAGUUUCAAAUGAAGUCUGCUUUCUAUGAUGGGACCUGUUUCAACAGAAACGUAAAUAAAAAAUAACACUGGGAAUAAAAUAUGAAAUACAUUUUGUACAUUUAUUAUGAACUAAACAGUGAACUCUUCUAAUUUGCAGGACUUCAUGGAAUAAUAAUGACACGUUCUCAAAAAUGUAUCAUUACUAUCAAAAAUCUUAUGUAUAAAUCUUGUGUAGAAAAACUGAAAACAUUUUUAAAUGUGUUAAUGUUAUUCUUGCAUAUAUUGUUUCACUACGAACUAUGGUCUAUGUAAAUAUGCUCAGGGAAUAGUCAAGAUUAUUCAAAAGUAAUGCAAUAACAUCUAUACAGACAAAAUAGGGUGCCUGCUGAACACUAGAACUUUACGUCUAGGGACCCCACUGUUGUUGGUGACCUUUUUAAUCUGCGAGGCACAAGCAAACGCGGACAAACGUAUAUCAACCUAAAUUUCAAUUAAUAUGUUGCAGGAACUGCCUAUAGUGCUUGUUUUUGACUACUGACAGGCAGAGUCCCAUAAUGAAAAACAGUCCUUCAUAUUUAAAUAAGGUAAGCAAAACUAAUGGGAAACAGCUACGCUUAAUAAGACUCUCAGAUAUUACGUUAAAGAAUCUUAAUUAACUUGAGAAGUGUCACCUGCCUUUACAUCGUAUUUCAUGUCAAAAUGGCUGCUGCGACAAGAAUUAGCACGAUAUGCAGGGCGGAGACGUUAAAUGUAUCACGUGACCUUCUUACGUCAGCUUGUGCUACUUCUCUAAAAGUUUUACAAGAAAAACCUUAAAUAUAGACGGCAACGACCGGUUUAUGCAUUGACCUCCCUCCCUGCUAUUUGUGCCUGAGGGCGUUAAGGUUGACCUUGUCCUGAGAAAGCAUAGGCUGGCUGCAUGACUCCUCUGGGGAACCGUGUCGCCUCUAACCUGGGCUUGGACGGACGGACGUACGCAAGUGGAAAACUGUGAGGAAAUGGACAUUUGGAGCAGGGAAACCAUGGAGUCAAUUUAGUCACUGUCUACUACCUUUUCGCAUGCAAGUACAAAGCCAGCCUCACACGUUGGUGUUGACAAGAAUUUCUCUCUGAGGAAUUUAGGGACAGAACAAUUCCUAGCAUCUGUUUCCUGCUCUCUUGCUCUGUGUGAAGGAAACAGAGUGUAAAUCACACCAAAUAUAAAUAGAGUCAGGAUUACAUGUUUCAGAAGCUAAAGUUGGUUGCUGUUCCACAGUGUUUUGGUUUUUCAGACACCAACAUUUGUACCUGCUGUAAGAAAUGAAAUAAUUAAAAACACUCAUGUAAAUUAAAUAUAAAAUGCAUUGAUUAGCCUCAAUGAAGUGUAUCGAACCAAGGAUAAUAUUUUCUUCACAUCCUUUAACUCAGAAACUUUGGAUUCAAUGUAAUCUUUGUGUUAAAGUUUAAAGCACAGAAGAGACUAGCAGGAGCCUCCUCAGAUGUAAAUAGAUCAGAGUUCAAUGAACCUCAUCCACAGGACGAAAUGCUAACAUGGUAGAAUAAUGUAUAAUCAUGCUAAUAGGUUGUGUUGAUGAAAAAUAACUAGUCACGUAGCUGGGUAGCUAGUGCAAGCUAAUGCUAGCCAUGUCCAACAUGCACUCCUCUCCUCCCAAAAAACCCCAUCAAAUAUUUUAAUACAGUGUUAUAAUUAUAAAUGUUCAUGGCUAAGUUAAUUUAUCAAUAAAAACCACGUUAUUAUGUACAAGUGAGUCAAAAUAUUAAAUAAAUAGGAUCAAUUUAACCCAAA